CCGUCUCAGUUCGGAUCGCAGGCUGCAACCCGCCUGCGUGAAGUCGGAAUCGCUAGUAAUCGCGGAUCAGCAUGCCGCGGUGAAUACGUUCCCGGGCCUUGUACACACCGCCCGUCACACCAUGAGAGUCGGGAACACCCGAAGUCCGUAGCCUAACCGAAUCGGAGGGCGCGGCCGAAGGUGGGUUCGAUAAUUGGGGUGAAGUCGUAACAAGGUACC
Molecule: ribosomal RNA, 219 nt
Filed under: uncultured bacterium
Lineage: Bacteria
Description: partial 16S ribosomal RNA
Rfam family: Bacterial small subunit ribosomal RNA
Source: RNAcentral